AAAGUCGUAACAAGGUUUCCGUAGGUGAACCUGCGGAAGGAUCAUUACCUUUCAAUGCAGCAGAGUUGGGAUGGUUGAGUAUCUCGCCUUUCAAUUCUGCCUGUAUUCUACCCUUGUUUCUCUUACACUAUUAUUUCCUCGGCAGGCUUGCUUGCCGAGUGAAACCAUUUAUAACCUGUUUAAUUUUCAAUCAGCGUCUGAACAAAUUAAUAAUUACAACUUUCAACAACGGAUCUCUUGGUUCUG
Molecule: unclassified non-coding RNA, 246 nt
Filed under: Ascomycota sp.
Lineage: Eukaryota; Fungi; Ascomycota
Description: partial contains small subunit ribosomal RNA, internal transcribed spacer 1, and 5.8S ribosomal RNA
Rfam family: Eukaryotic small subunit ribosomal RNA (bases 1-47)
Source: RNAcentral